This 500-nucleotide ribosomal RNA is filed under the name uncultured Sphingobacteriales bacterium. Its description in RNAcentral is "bacterial SSU rRNA". It matches the Rfam family "Bacterial small subunit ribosomal RNA", at positions 903 to 1382 of the family's 1533-position model. The record is from RNAcentral. Lineage: Bacteria; Pseudomonadati; Bacteroidota; Sphingobacteriia; Sphingobacteriales.
GCCAGCCCGCUCAAGAACUCAAAGGAAGUUGACGGGGGCCCGCACAAGCGGAGGAGCAUGUGGUUUAAUUCGAUGAUACGCGAGGAACCUUACCUGGGCUCGAACGUAAGAUGACUGUAGGUGAAAGCUUACAUCUCUUCGGAGCAUUUUACGAGGUGCUGCAUGGUUGUCGUCAGCUCGUGCCGUGAGGUGUCGGGUUAAGUCCCAUAACGAGCGCAACCCCUACCUUUAGUUGCCAUCAGGUUAAGCUGGGGACUCUAAAGGAACUGCCUACGCAAGUAGUGAGGAAGGCGGGGAUGACGUCAAAUCAGCACGGCCCUUACGUCCAGGGCUACACACGUGCUACAAUGGCCGAUACAGAGGGCAGCUACCUGGUGACAGGAUGCAAAUCUCCAAAGUCGGUCUCAGUUCGGAUCGGAGUCUGCAACCCGACUCCGUGAAGUUGGAUUCGCUAGUAAUCGCGCAUCAGCCAUGGCGCGGUGAAUACGUUCCCGGACCUU